UGCGUAAUAGCUCACUGGUCGAGGGUUUCGGCGCCGAUAAUGAUCGGGAAUAAGCAAUGUACCGAAGCUGCGGGCUGCGUAAGCAGCGGUAGGAGAGCGUUCCUGUCAGCAGAGAAGGCGUCCCGAAAGGGUCGCUGGAGCGUCAGGAAGUGAAUAUGCCGGGUUGAGUAACGAUAAAGCAGGUGAAAAUCCUGCUCGCCGAAAAUCUAAGGUUUCCUGGGGAAGGUAAAUCCGCCCAGGGUCAGCCGGGACCUAAGGUGAGGCCGAAAGGCGUAGCCGAUGGACGGCAGGUUAACAUUCCUGCGCUACUGUGGAGAUCAAUCAUGAGUGCGGAUCGGUCAGCCCUGCGUAAGCACCAGCUUGCUGAGGCCCUUGAGGCCGCUGCAGGGGGCUCCGGUCCCGAGAAAAGCUCAUGUGGCAAAGCAGUACCCGUACCAAAACCGACACAGGUAGAUGAGGUGAAUAACCUAAGGCGCUCGAGAUAACGGAAGUGAAGGAACUAGGCAAAUUGACCCCGUAAGUUCGCGAUAAGGGGGCCCUACCCCUCGGGGAGGGCGCAGAGAAAAGGCUCUGGCGACUGUUUAUCAAAAACACAGCACUGUGCUAACUCGUAAGAGGACGUAUACAGUGUGACGCCUGCCCAAUGCCGGAAUGUCACGGAAGCAGGUUAGGUUUAUCCGAAGCUUGUGACCUAAGCACCGGUCAAUGGCGGCCGUAACUAUGACGGUCCUAAGGUAGCGAAGUUCCUUGUCGGGUAAGUUCCGACGCGCAUGAAUGGCGUAACGAUUGACACACUGUCUCAACUACCAACUCGGUGAAAUAGAAGACGCGGUGAAGAUACCGCGUACCCGCAGCAAGACGGAAAGACCCCGUGCACCUUUACUGUAGGCUGAUAUUGGCCAAGACCCUACAUUGCGUAGGAUAGGUGGGAGGCUUUGAAACUGGGAUUCUGGUCCCGGUGGAGCCGUCCUUGAAAUACCACCCUGUGUAUCGUUUUGACCUAACUCGGACCCAUGAAUCUGGGCCGAAGACAGUGUUUGCUGGGCAGUUUGACUGGGGCGGUCUCCUCCUAAAAAGUAACGGAGGAGUGCAAAGGUUGGCUCAGCAUGGUUGGAAACCAUGUGUCGAGUACAAGAGCAUAAGCCAGCUUUACUGCAAGACAUACAGGUCAAGCAGUCUCGAAAGAGGGCUCUAGUGAUCCGGUAGUCCCGUGUGGAAGGGCUAUCGCUCAACGGAUAAAAGGUACGCCGGGGAUAACAGGCUGAUCGCUCCCGAGCGUCCAUAGCGGCGGAGCGGUUUGGCACCUCGAUGUCGGCUC
Molecule: ribosomal RNA, 1318 nt
Filed under: Rubrointrusa membranacea
Lineage: Eukaryota; Rhodophyta; Florideophyceae; Palmariales; Meiodiscaceae
Description: bacterial LSU rRNA
Rfam family: Bacterial large subunit ribosomal RNA
Source: RNAcentral